Chlorocebus sabaeus (green monkey) is the source of this 70-nucleotide microRNA precursor. The record is from Ensembl. Lineage: Eukaryota; Metazoa; Chordata; Mammalia; Primates; Cercopithecidae.
CGAGAUUCUGGGGGCCACCACGCACCUGUGUGCACAGAACAGGGUGCGUGGUGGUCCUUAGAAUCUCUGC